This 253-nucleotide ribosomal RNA is filed under the name uncultured bacterium. Its description in RNAcentral is "partial 16S ribosomal RNA". It matches the Rfam family "Bacterial small subunit ribosomal RNA", at positions 524 to 776 of the family's 1533-position model. The record is from RNAcentral.
UACAGAGGGUGCGAGCGUUAAUCGGAAUUACUGGGCGUAAAGCGUGCGUAGACGGUCAAGUAAGUCGGGUGUGAAAGCCCCGGGCUCAACCUGGGAAUUGCAUUCGAGACUGCGUGGCUAGGGUGCGGAAGAGGGAAGCGGAAUUUCCGGUGUAGCGGUGAAAUGCGUAGAUAUCGGAAGGAACACCAGUGGCGAAAGCGGCUUCCUGGUCCAGCACCGACGUUCAGGCACGAAAGCGUGGGGAGCAAACAGG